RNAcentral lists this long non-coding RNA (557 nucleotides) under Salmo salar (Atlantic salmon). RNAcentral describes it as "lncRNA (ENSSSAG00000106775.1, ENSSSAG00000107870.1)". The record is from RNAcentral. Lineage: Eukaryota; Metazoa; Chordata; Actinopteri; Salmoniformes; Salmonidae.
UAGCGUGUCCCAGUCCACCAAACACCAGCAGCACCCCGCCCCACCGUUCCAGCAGUGUACCACCCCCCCCAGUAGCAGCACCCCUCCAAAUCUCCCCAGCCCCACUUCCCCUCAACCCAGCCUCCUGAUUGAUGGGGUUCCUAAUACUUUAAACACCUCUCCUCCAGGACUUGUAAAGAUCUGAUAUUCUGUACAGAAUGCCCCCCAUUGUCAUACACUGAUGUUCAGUUCCUCUUCAACUAUAUACAUAGAUGGCAGAUUGUAGUAUUUAGAUGGUAGGUUGUAGUAUUUAGAUGUAGAUGGCAGAUUGUAGUAUUUAGAUGGUAGGUUGUAGUAUUUAGAUGUAGAUGGCAGAUUGUAGUAUUUAGAUGGUAGAUUGUAGUAUUUAGAUGGCAGAUUGUAGUAUUUAGAUGGCAGAUUGUAGUAUUUAGAUGUAGAUGGUAGGUUGUAGUAUUUAGAUGGUAGGUUGUAGUAUUUAGAUGUAGGUUGUAGUAUUUAGUUCAGCAGAUAACUUAAUACUUUCAAUAAAUGUUUUUUUUCUGACACCGUGUAGUACA